This 89-nucleotide transfer RNA is filed under the name Homo sapiens (human). It matches the Rfam family "tRNA". Rfam says of the family: Transfer RNA (tRNA) molecules are approximately 80 nucleotides in length. Their secondary structure includes four short double-helical elements and three loops (D, anti-codon, and T loops). The record is from Rfam by way of RNAcentral. Lineage: Eukaryota; Metazoa; Chordata; Mammalia; Primates; Hominidae.
CCUUCGAUAGCUCAGUUGGUAGAGCGGAGGACUGUAGUGGAUAGGGCGUGGCAAUCCUUAGGUCGCUGGUUCGAUUCCGGCUCGAAGGA